CUAAGGCGAGGCUGAAAAGCGUAGUCGAUGGACAACAGGUUAAUAUUCCUGUACUGCCUUGUCGGAGUGAUGGAGGGACGCAGAGAGUCAGGUGAGCCGGCUGCUGAAUAUGCCGGUCGAAGCCCGUGGGACGUGCUGUUGGCAAAUCCGCAGCACACUAGUCUGAGAGGCGUAAGGUAGCCGAACGCAAGUUUGGCGAAUUCACUGCGACUGCACUGACGAGAAAAGCUUCUAAACGAUGAUGACAGGGUAUCCGUACCGUAAACCGACACAGGUGGGUGAGGCGAGAAGCCUAAGGUGCGCGAGAGAAACCAACGUUAAGGAACUCGGCAAAUUAGCCCCGUAACUUCGGAAUAAGGGGUGCCGCCUCUGGUGAAGGGAUUUACUCCCCGAGCUUAGGGCGGUUGCAAUAAAGAGGCCGGUGCGACUGUUUAACAAAAACACAGCUCUAUGCCAACUCGUAAGAGGAUGUAUAUGGAGUGACACGUGACCAAUGCCAAAAGGUCAAUGGGAGAGGUUAGCGCAAGCGAAGCUUCGAUCUGAAGCCCUGGUGAAUGUCGGCCGUAACUAUAACGGUCCUAAGGUAGCGAAAUUCCUUGUCGGGUAAGUUCCGACCUGCACGAAUCGUGUAACGAUGCCGGCACUGUCUCAACGUGGAUCUCGGCGAAGUUGUAAUUCCGGUGAAAAUGCCGGAUACCUGCGGAAGGACGGAAAGACCCCAUGAACCUUUACUGUAAUCUGAUAUUGGUAUUUGAUUGUUCUUGUGUAGCAUAGGUGGGAGGCUGUGAAGCCGCUACGCCAGUACCGGUGGAGCCACAGGUGAAAUACCACCCUGGUGCAAUUAGAUAUCUAACGGAGUCCCGUGAAUCCGGGCUCCGGACCGUGUCAGAGGGUCAGUUUGACUGGGGCGGUUUCCUCCUAAAUUGUAACGGAGGAGCCCGAAGGUACACUCAGCACGGUUGGCAAUCGUGUGAAGAGCGUAAGGGUAGAAGUGUGCUUUACUGUAAGACAGACAUGUCGAGCAGUUGCGAAAGCAGGGCCUAGUGAUCCAGCGAUGGAAUGUGGAAUCGUCGUUGCUCAACGGAUAAAAGGUACUCUGGGGAUAACAGGCUGAUAGCGCCCAAGCGUCCAUAGCGACG
This 1139-nucleotide ribosomal RNA is filed under the name human gut metagenome. Its description in RNAcentral is "bacterial LSU rRNA". It matches the Rfam family "Bacterial large subunit ribosomal RNA", at positions 1391 to 2510 of the family's 2925-position model. The record is from RNAcentral.